CGGUUCAAACCGGUGCCAACUUAUUUUAAAAAAAAAUAAAUAAAUAUGGCAUAGAGUUUGCACCGGUUCGCCUUAAACCGGUGCCAACUAUAUUAAUUAGCACCGGUUCAAACCGGCGCCAUAUUUUAGAAAAAAAAAACCCGGGUUAGGUUAUUCCAACGUUGCGCCUUUCUUUUUCAAUUCCUUCUCCUUUCUCCUUCUACCUUUCCCCAUUUCCCCCUUGACUCCACUACGCACCCCUUUCCACCGACACCACACUCUAUCUUCAUUCUUCACGGCAUCAAGGCGAUGUGACGGUGGUCGUGAUUGGUUGUUGGAUUUUUAGAGUCACAGCUCCUUGCAAAGCCAAACCCUAGAUUUUCCUCCUAUUCAAUUUCUCUCACUUCAAUUCGCCUCGCCCAGUCGCCCUCGCCUCGCCGUGACGCCGUCGCCCGUUCGCCGGAAGUUCGCCUCGACCAGCACGCAGCCACGCAGUGACCUGGUUGGCUGGAACUUCGACAGCCUUCGUCAAUCGUCAUUCGCCUUCGUGAGUUCGUGACUGUUCGUGUUAGCAGAGCAGCAGCAGGCAGCAGUUUGGUGAUGGUGACUUGGUGUUCGACACUUCUACAGCCUUCAAUUGCCUAAGUUUACUUGGCCAAUUCACCCAAAUCAAUUAAUCAAUGGAGAUUAGGGUAAGAGUGUUAAGGCCGAAACAAGCAGCUUUAGUGUUGAAAGUUCAAAGCCUCAAAGGAGGAGCAUACCAUCUGCUUCAUCGGCUUUGGUUAUUGGUGCAAUCCUCGGACUUCUUCAAGCGAUUUUUCUCAUUUCUCUAGCAAAACCAUUAUUGAACUAUAUGGGUGUCAAACCUGACUCAACUAUGCUACCCCCGGCUCAAAAGUACUUGACAUUGAGGUCACUUGGUGCACCUGCCGUUCUUCGAAGCUGGAGAUGGAUUUGAUAAGAACAGAAAGACACCUCCUAAAAGAAAUGGGUUUCAUUUGUCAUGUUGAGCACCCGCACAAAUUCAUAUCAAACUACCUAGCUGUCCUUGAACUUAAAGAACCUUUAGAGUUAAGGCAAGAUGCUUGGAAUCUAGCAAAUGAUAGUUUUGACAGACCGACUUUCACGUUGGAGGUACCGUAUCAAAUGUUCAACAUAAUUCAUGGAAACAAGAAACAUCAUAUAGAGUUAUAGACGAAGGGAAAUCAUGUGAAAGCUGCCCCUCCAACUCUUCCAUCUGAGCCACCUGCUACUCGUGGGACCAGUUCCCAAGCUGCUUCGAAAAUCACAUAUAGAUAAGUGGGAAGAUAUUGACAGGAAAAUCAAUAAGAAAAAGUCUAGUAAGUGAAGCAAAAGGGUGUGUUGUUGCUGCUGUAAUUGUUGGAAUAACAAAACCUGGUUCUAUUGGGUAACAAAACCUGGUUCUUAUUGCACAAAUAUAUAAUUUUUCGUUCCUUGCUUUGAUUUUUUUUUUGGACAAAAAUUGUAAUAUUACAGCCUUUUUAAUGA
Molecule: long non-coding RNA, 1488 nt
Organism: Chenopodium quinoa (quinoa)
Lineage: Eukaryota; Viridiplantae; Streptophyta; Magnoliopsida; Caryophyllales; Amaranthaceae
Exons: 5
Source: RefSeq, a predicted model, not a curated record